This 253-nucleotide ribosomal RNA is filed under the name uncultured bacterium. RNAcentral describes it as "partial 16S ribosomal RNA". It matches the Rfam family "Bacterial small subunit ribosomal RNA", at positions 524 to 776 of the family's 1533-position model. The record is from RNAcentral.
UACGUAGGGUGCAAGCGUUAAUCGGAAUUACUGGGCGUAAAGCGUGCGCAGGCGGUUUUUUAAGUCCGAUGUGAAAUCCCCGGGCUUAACCUGGGAACUGCGUUUGAAACUACAAGGCUAGAGUGUGGCAGAGGGGGGUGGAAUUCCACGUGUAGCAGUGAAAUGCGUAGAGAUGUGGAGGAACACCGAUGGCGAAGGCAGCCCCCUGGGUUAACACUGACGCUCAGGCACGAAAGCGUGGGGAGCAAACAGG